AUGGAGCUUUAGACGCCAAGGCAGCCCACGUUAAGCACCCCCCUACAAGGGACUAAACCAAGUGAAGCCUGCCCUAAUGUCUUUGGUUGGGGCGACCGCGGGGAAUUAAAGAACCCCCACGUGGAAUGGGAGCACUCCUCCUACAGCUAAGAGCUACAGCUCUAGUAAACAGAAUUUCUGACCAAUAAGAUCCGGCAAUGCCGAUCAACGGACCG
RNAcentral lists this ribosomal RNA (215 nucleotides) under Ophiodon elongatus. RNAcentral's name for it is "partial 16S ribosomal RNA". The record is from RNAcentral. Lineage: Eukaryota; Metazoa; Chordata; Actinopteri; Perciformes; Hexagrammidae.